This 78-nucleotide transfer RNA is filed under the name Bradymonadales bacterium. Its description in RNAcentral is "tRNA-Met". It matches the Rfam family "tRNA". Rfam says of the family: Transfer RNA (tRNA) molecules are approximately 80 nucleotides in length. Their secondary structure includes four short double-helical elements and three loops (D, anti-codon, and T loops). Lineage: Bacteria; Deltaproteobacteria; Bradymonadales. The record is from RNAcentral.
CGCGGGGUGGAGCACCUGUGGUAGCUCGUCGGGCUCAUAACCCGAAGGUCGUUAGUUCAAAUCUAACCCCCGCAACCA